CCUACGGGUGGCAGCAGUGGGGAAUAUUGCACAAUGGGGGAAACCCUGAUGCAGCGACGCCGCGUGAGUGAAGAAGUAUUUCGGUAUGUAAAGCUCUAUCAGCAGGGAAGAAAAUGACGGUACCUGAUUAAGAAGCCCCGGCUAACUACGUGCCAGCAGCCGCGGUUAUACGUAGGGGGCAAGCGUUAUCCGGAUUUACUGGGUGUAAAGGGAGCGUAGGCGGGAGCACAAGUCUGGAGGGCAAUGCCUGGGCUUAACCCCGGAACUGCUUUGGAAACUGUGCAGCUAGAGUGCAGGAGAGGUAAGUGGAAUGCGUGGUGUAGCGGUGAAAUGCGUAGAUAUUAGGCGGAACACCAGUGGCGAAGGCGGCUUACUGGACUGUAACUGACGUUGAGGCUCGAAAGCGUGGGGAGCGAACAGGAUUAGAUACCCGGGUAGUC
This 440-nucleotide ribosomal RNA is filed under the name uncultured bacterium. RNAcentral describes it as "partial 16S ribosomal RNA". It matches the Rfam family "Bacterial small subunit ribosomal RNA", at positions 338 to 795 of the family's 1533-position model. The record is from RNAcentral.